GGGCUCGAACGUAAGAUGACUGUAGGUGAAAGCUUACAUCUCUUCGGAGCAUUUUACGAGGUGCUGCAUGGUUGUCGUCAGCUCGUGCCGUGAGGUGUCGGGUUAAGUCCCAUAACGAGCGCAACCCCUACCUUAGUUGCCAUCAGGUUAAGCUGGGGACUCUAAAGGAACUGCCUACGCAAGUAGUGAGGAAGGCGGGGAUGACGUCAAAUCAGCACGGCCCUUACGUCCAGGGCUACACACGUGCUACAAUGGCCGAUACAGAGGGCAGCUACCUGGUGACAGGAUGCAAAUCUCCAAAGUCGGUCUCAGUUCGGAUCGGAGUCUGCAACCCGACUCCGUGAAGUUGGAUUCGCUAGUAAUCGCGCAUCAGCCAUGGCGCGGUGAAUACGUUCCCGGGCCUU
Molecule: ribosomal RNA, 404 nt
Filed under: uncultured Sphingobacteriales bacterium
Lineage: Bacteria; Pseudomonadati; Bacteroidota; Sphingobacteriia; Sphingobacteriales
Description: bacterial SSU rRNA
Rfam family: Bacterial small subunit ribosomal RNA
Source: RNAcentral